GGAUGUGAGGGCGAUCUGGCUGUAACAUCUGUCACCCCAUUGAUUGCCAGGGUUGAUUCGGCUGAUCUGGCUGGCUAGGUGGGUGUUCCCUUCCUCCCUCACCGCUCCAUGUGCAUUCCUCCUGAACCUGCACGCUUGAUCGAAGAGAAUGAUUCCCUGAUAGAGGAGGACCAUUCUUCUGUCAAGGGUAUAGGAGUAGCUGCGCUCCCCUGCUAGAACCUCCAAACAAUCUCUCAAGGUAGUGGUUUGUGGUACACAAUGUGUGUUUGGUCAGUUCUCAGUGAAUAUACACUUAAAAUUUGUUAUUU
This 308-nucleotide small nuclear RNA is filed under the name Marmota marmota marmota (Alpine marmot). RNAcentral describes it as "7SK RNA (ENSMMMG00000019679.1)". It matches the Rfam family "7SK RNA". Rfam says of the family: 7SK was discovered as an abundant small nuclear RNA in the mid-70s but a possible function has only recently been suggested. The record is from RNAcentral. Lineage: Eukaryota; Metazoa; Chordata; Mammalia; Rodentia; Sciuridae.